UCACACUGCUAUUCACCCCAGUUCAGAAGGGCAGAGCAAUGGCCAAAAUGUAAGACUGGGGUUGGGACUGUGAGAAGAAAGGAACAAUUGCCAGUUAGCAAAUUAUUAUAAUGGCCACGUGGGCUCCAGGGCUGACAUAAUGAGGAGCUUGGUAUGUGUGGUAAUUACACACACUUGAGUUGAGUCUUAGGAAAACAUAUAAAAGAAACGUUAUUUUCUUUUUUUCUAAAGGCUAUGAAGGUAAGAAGCAUUCCAUAAACAAUUAUUACGCAGCACUAUUUCAAGGGUUGGGCUCUGUCAAUGAGUUUUAACCACUAAAGAAAAGGAAUUCUAAUUGGGGGCGAAAUAAUAGGCUACAUUUGUAUAGCACUGCAUAGAGUACCAAGU
Molecule: long non-coding RNA, 387 nt
Filed under: Pan troglodytes (chimpanzee)
Lineage: Eukaryota; Metazoa; Chordata; Mammalia; Primates; Hominidae
Description: long non-coding RNA NONPTRT000336
Source: RNAcentral